This 468-nucleotide ribosomal RNA is filed under the name Helminthoglypta diabloensis. RNAcentral describes it as "partial large subunit ribosomal RNA". It matches the Rfam family "Archaeal large subunit ribosomal RNA", at positions 1889 to 2688 of the family's 2987-position model. Lineage: Eukaryota; Metazoa; Mollusca; Gastropoda; Stylommatophora; Helminthoglyptidae. The record is from RNAcentral.
CGCCUGUUUAUCAAAAACAUAACCAUAUGCUAUUACUUAUGGCGACUUCUGCUCAAUGAUUUUAAAUAGCCGCAGUACUCUGACUGUGCAAAGGUAGCAUAAUAAUUUGGCUCAUAAUUGGAGUCUGGCAUGAAUGAAUUUAUGGCUAGUGACUGUCUUCAAAGGAUGUAGUAAACUUACUAAGCAAGUGAAAAUUCUUGCAGGAACCUAAAAGACGAGAAGACCCUUGAAAUUUUUACAAAUUGGUGUGAUACACUGCACGUUUUUGUUGGGGCGACAAAAUAACAACUAACUUAUUGUUGUAGAUUUGAACUAAAUGUUGUGAAUAAGUAAAUUACUCUAGGGAUAACAGCAUAAUUUUGAAUAGUUUGUGACCUCGAUGUUGGAUUAGGAACCGUGUUACCCAGAAGGUAACGUGGCACGUUCUGUUCGAACGUUUCACCCCUACGUGAUCUGAGUUCAGACCGG